CGAUACCGCCGGGCUCCCCUCGGUGCAGGGGCCGUGCGGCGAGCGCCGCUCCGCAGCCCUCGGAAGGCUCUCGCCCGCCCGCCCGGUGGGCGCGAUCGCUGCCGCUGCGGAGCUGCCCGGAGGUGCCGUUCCCGCGCGGCGGCUCUGCGCCUCGGGAGGGGUCACCUGAGUUCUCGCCCCGGCUUGCUCGGAGAGGCACCGGCCUGCGCCAGCGGGGAAGUUCCAGGGAACCUUGUAAAAGCGUCCCGGCGCGGGAUGUCACCUCCGGUAGCUGGGGAACGGCUUUUCCGCUUUCUCCGUGCGCCUGCAUCCACAGAUUUUCAAAUCAGCUCACCCGAAGCACUUUACUUAUUUUUCUCCCCCAAAAAACACACCUUUCCCUCAACCAGUGCUUCCACAGACAGCGUGUCCAGGCUGCCGCUGCUGAGUCAGGCAGAUAAGGAUCCUUUUCCUUGGGAACCUUCCGUGUUUCCAUCGCUAGCAGAGGCAUGACCAAGCAAAAGUAGGGGAAGAGGGGAUGACAGUGGUGACCUGAUACACAAAAGGUGACAGAAGAUGGCUCUUCCUCUGUGGAGCGGGAAAGGGUCUGGAUUAAUGCAUAAGAAAGGUUGGAAGUUUUCAAGAAGCAAGGAAAACAGUGUUACUCUCAGAAGGACACUUUAACUGAACUGCAAUAAACCCAGAAAAAAACAAGAGCUAUUUUUACAAAAGAAUGGAAAAUAAAUCCUUACCUCAGAUUCAUGUCUGUAACCAGACAUAUUGUGUUAAAAGCUAGUCCCGGAGUUGUACAACAGCCAAAUGGGAUGGCCAGGGCACAGGGCCCAUAUCAUCUGAAUGGGAGGGUCCUGUGUUCCUGUCUUCUGGAAGUGGAGUUGUGCUGUGACUGUGGCAUGCCUGGUGGAAGAUCUUUAAAUAAAAAGCAUGGGGUUCAUCUGAACAGCAACUUUGCUGUCCAUAAACUGAAAUCUGCAGAAAAUACUGCGGGAGAAGAGAUGUGUUGUUCUUUUCUUGAAACACAGUUCUGUGGCAGAUAUUUCAGUUUGCAGUGGGACCUGUUAAAUGUGCAUUUCACUUGCUGGAGCUAGUG
This is a long non-coding RNA of Zonotrichia leucophrys gambelii, 1087 nucleotides long. RefSeq lists it as uncharacterized. NCBI's taxonomy places the organism in Eukaryota, Metazoa, Chordata, Aves, Passeriformes, Passerellidae. The transcript is spliced from 4 exons. The record is from RefSeq and is a predicted model, not a curated record.